Molecule: RNA transcript, 1436 nt
Organism: Drosophila mojavensis
Lineage: Eukaryota; Metazoa; Arthropoda; Insecta; Diptera; Drosophilidae
Exons: 7
Source: RefSeq, a predicted model, not a curated record
AUGUCAAAUGUAAAGUUAGUUGUUUCAUUUUCAUUUUUAUUUUCUAGAAUCAUUCUCUCAAAUAUUGCAAAUAUUAUCUUUAAAAAUCCUAAGCAUGGGCGGCAAGGGGAAAUCCUGCGAAUGCACUCUCGAGACUAAAGUUCUGUUCUUUUGCAUUUGGACAAUAGUUACUGGAUUAUUCGCCGCAAUCAUCAUUGGUUCACUCAUCCCAAUGGUUAUAAAAAACAAUUCAGAACAUUUGGGGUUUUUCGUUACCCUCCUGGUACUCGCCGUUAUUGAGAUGGUGGCCGGGAGUUGUAUGACCAUUGCUUUCUAUAAAAAAAUAGCCUGGCUGUUUAUGGUCGGGCUUGUAUUUAGUUCUUUUUAUCCAUACUGUGCCUUUAUUUUCCUGGUUCCGCUGAUUAUGCACAUCGUUUUUACCGUUUAUGCGUGCCAAUAUUUUUUCAAAAUGCGAUCAGAGGGCUAACUACAAAUUUUACCUGACAACGAUCCCUUCCGUCGCAAUGGAUCUCGAUGGGACCAUUUUAAUAUGUUUCGAAUUAAACAAGACAAAUUUACCAUAAUUGAUUGAUGUAUAGAGCGUAAAUAAAUGGAUUUUCGUGAUGAGCUUGUUAUUUUUAUCAUACAUAGUGAUGGCACGAUUUAUGAAAUGAUUCAGUGCCAGUAGUGCGCCUAUUUCCUGAAGCGGGUGCUACUCUAACGGAGAGAGAACAGAAUAGCCACCGUUAGGACUAGAGAUUUAACAAUUCCCAUGUAGGUCCACAGAGCCCAGAAUAAAUGCGGAGAUUCAUUUAUGAUUCCAUAAUGUGCCAAAUAUUUAAAAAAAAUUCGUCCAAAGUGAGCAGUGUUUAUAUUUUCAAUAUACGUUAUAUGUGUUAUUUUGAAAUUGUUGGCGUCAUCUCUCAUUUUUUGCACAUUUACAAAAAUGGGAUGCGAGUGUACUCUUGAGUGUAAAAUAAAGUUCUUUUGCAUUUGGAUAAUAGUAACUGGAUUGGCAGCGACACUACUACUUAGUUGGACCGUACCAUAUGCUAAGCAAGAGACGAACUCUGAAACCAUGUGGUGGUGCGUUUUCUUGCUUGUACUCGCCGCUAUUGAGGUGGUGGGUGGGCUUCUUAUGUUCGUUGCAUUUUAUAAAAAUAUAGCCUGGAUGUUUAUGGUUGGCCUUGUACUAAGUUCAUUUUAUCCAUACGUUGUAUUUGGACUCGUGGUUCUCAUGGUUAUCCACAUCGUUUUUACAAUUUAUUCGUGCCAAUAUUAUAAGACAAUGAAUAAAUAAGGCGCUAAAUGAAAAUUUAACGUGACUGCGAUCCCUUCCGUCGCAAUGGACCCCGAUGGGAUUUAAUAGUUAUAAUUAAACGGAAUUAACCACAAACGUAUUCAUAAAAUUGUUUAGUAUAAGUGAUGUAAGGAACAUAAAUAAAUGUUGGAUUUUA